CUGUACACGCACUGCUUGGAGCUUAUGAGCCUUUAUAAGGGGACGGGAUUCUUGGCUCGGGGGUCUCCCUAAUCGGAAACUGAUCAUCUGUCUCUCAAGAUGCAUUAAAGCUUUACUGCAGAAGGAUCCGAGUGUUCUGUGUCAUUCUUGCUGGCGAGACGAUCGCGCGGGACAUCUGGUGCCGAAACCCAGGAACUUGUUGACAUCGCCGGCGCCGCGGGAGACCCCUCGGAGGACGGGGCGGAUUCAGAACUGCAGGGAGGCCUCUUUGACCCUGAACACAUGAGAUAUGACAUCUACUCAGGACCCUACUCAGGACCCUUCCAUGGUAGAGGGCUGGUUCUCUUCAAGGCUUGGAAUGGCAAAUCCUUUACCUCAAUCCUAUAUAACAAUAGUCCACGCUACAGGCCCUGUAAUGGUGUUCAGGCUGAUGUCAUUAAGGAAGACAGCAUGAAGAUCAGUAGGAUUGUCAACAUGGGAUAGGGACUGAGAAUGCUCAUGGAAGUGGCAGUCUCCUCCUCUAAACACCCCUUCUUUGCAGGAGAUCCCACAUACCAUCAGCAGAUGGCUGUGCCAUUGGGCAGAUAGAUCAAGUGUGGCAAGCACCUGCAUGUGCACCUGUGGAGAGAAUUCUCCCUAGAGCCCUAUCCCAACUGUGCCCUGGCACCCCCUCCCUGCCAGAGCAUUUCGCUUCCUCCUCAGUCCACUGGUCUGCACCUGGCAAAAAUUUCCCCUCCAGUUCUUGAGAUAGGGUCUUGCCUAGUCUAGAUUUCAG
This 775-nucleotide long non-coding RNA is filed under the name Cricetulus griseus (Chinese hamster). RNAcentral's name for it is "lncRNA (ENSCGRG00015030321.1)". Lineage: Eukaryota; Metazoa; Chordata; Mammalia; Rodentia; Cricetidae. The record is from RNAcentral.